This 1403-nucleotide ribosomal RNA is filed under the name metagenome. RNAcentral describes it as "bacterial SSU rRNA". It matches the Rfam family "Bacterial small subunit ribosomal RNA". The record is from RNAcentral.
AGAGUUUGAUCCUGGCUCAGGACGAACGCUGGCGGCGCGCCUAACACAUGCAAGUCGAACGAGCGAGAGAGAGCUUGCUUUCUCGAGCGAGUGGCGAACGGGUGAGUAACGCGUGAGGAACCUGCCUCAAAGAGGGGGACAACAGUUGGAAACGACUGCUAAUACCGCAUAAGCCCACGGCUCGGCAUCGAGCAGAGGGAAAAGGAGCAAUCCGCUUUGAGAUGGCCUCGCGUCCGAUUAGCUAGUUGGUGAGGUAAUGGCCCACCAAGGCGACGAUCGGUAGCCGGACUGAGAGGUUGAACGGCCACAUUGGGACUGAGACACGGCCCAGACUCCUACGGGAGGCAGCAGUGGGGAAUAUUGCACAAUGGGGGAAACCCUGAUGCAGCGACGCCGCGUGGAGGAAGAAGGUCUUCGGAUUGUAAACUCCUGUUGUUGGGGAAGAUAAUGACGGUACCCAACAAGGAAGUGACGGCUAACUACGUGCCAGCAGCCGCGGUAAAACGUAGGUCACAAGCGUUGUCCGGAAUUACUGGGUGUAAAGGGAGCGCAGGCGGGAAGACAAGUUGGAAGUGAAAUCUAUGGGCUCAACCCAUAAACUGCUUUCAAAACUGUUUUUCUUGAGUAGUGCAGAGGUAGGCGGAAUUCCCGGUGUAGCGGUGGAAUGCGUAGAUAUCGGGAGGAACACCAGUGGCGAAGGCGGCCUACUGGGCACCAACUGACGCUGAGGCUCGAAAGUGUGGGUAGCAAACAGGAUUAGAUACCCUGGUAGUCCACACCGUAAACGAUGAUUACUAGGUGUUGGAGGAUUGACCCCUUCAGUGCCGCAGUUAACACAAUAAGUAAUCCACCUGGGGAGUACGACCGCAAGGUUGAAACUCAAAGGAAUUGACGGGGGCCCGCACAAGCAGUGGAGUAUGUGGUUUAAUUCGACGCAACGCGAAGAACCUUACCAAGUCUUGACAUCCCUUGACGAUGCUGGAAACAGUGUUUCUCUUCGGAGCAAGGAGACAGGUGGUGCAUGGUUGUCGUCAGCUCGUGUCGUGAGAUGUUGGGUUAAGUCCCGCAACGAGCGCAACCCUUAUGGUCAGUUACUACGCAAGAGGACUCUGGCCAGACUGCCGUUGACAAAACGGAGGAAGGUGGGGAUGACGUCAAAUCAUCAUGCCCUUUAUGACUUGGGCUACACACGUACUACAAUGGCGUUAAACAAAGAGAAGCAAGACCGCGAGGUGGAGCAAAACUCAGAAACAACGUCCCAGUUCGGACUGCAGGCUGCAACUCGCCUGCACGAAGUUGGAAUUGCUAGUAAUCGUGGAUCAGCAUGCCACGGUGAAUACGUUCCCGGGCCUUGUACACGCCGCCCGUCACACCAUGAGAGCCGGGGGGACCCGAAGUCGGUA